UACGUAGGGGGCAAGCGUUGUCCGGAUUUAUUGGGCGUAAAGAGCGUGUAGGCGGCUAGGUAGGUCCGUUGUGAAAACUCGAGGCUCAACCUCGAGACGCCGGUGGAAACCAUCUAGCUAGAGUCCGGAAGAGGAGAGUGGAAUUCCUGGUGUAGCGGUGAAAUGCGCAGAUAUCAGGAAGAACACCCGUGGCGAAGGCGGCUCUCUGGGACGGUGACUGACGCUGAGACGCGAAAGCGUGGGGAGCAAACAGG
Molecule: ribosomal RNA, 254 nt
Filed under: uncultured bacterium
Lineage: Bacteria
Description: partial 16S ribosomal RNA
Rfam family: Bacterial small subunit ribosomal RNA
Source: RNAcentral